CUGAAAUCAAGGCAAGCUGAGGUCAAGAAUCAGAUGCUUACAGUUACACCACCCAGAAAGUGUCCAGUGUCAUGGGAAUCAGCUUAGGCUCACCUGCUGGAGGACGAGAGACUGCACCACGGAGACCUAAGUCACCCAGCUGAUAGCCCGCCUCCUCCCAGAGACAGAGCUGCGUCCCCGAGCACAGCUGACGGCAUAUGCAUGGAUGAGCUCAUCCAAGACCAAAAGACCCAUCCAGCCGACCCAUAGACCUGUGAGCAACAACAGAGAGAGAGAGCACAAGCAGGGGGAGCCACAGGCAGAGAGAGAAGCAGGCUCCCCACCGAGCAAGGAGCCCGAUGCAGGACUCGAUCCCAGGACCUCAGGAUCAUGACCUGAGCUGAAGGCAGACGCUUCACCAACUGAGCCACCCAGGCGCCCAUGUAAGUAACUUUUAACCCC
This 441-nucleotide long non-coding RNA is filed under the name Ursus maritimus (polar bear). RNAcentral's name for it is "lncRNA (ENSUMAG00000023777.1)". The record is from RNAcentral. Lineage: Eukaryota; Metazoa; Chordata; Mammalia; Carnivora; Ursidae.